RNAcentral lists this ribosomal RNA (885 nucleotides) under Sistotrema octosporum. RNAcentral's name for it is "LSU rRNA". It matches the Rfam family "Eukaryotic large subunit ribosomal RNA", at positions 70 to 965 of the family's 3401-position model. Lineage: Eukaryota; Fungi; Basidiomycota; Agaricomycetes; Cantharellales; Hydnaceae. The record is from RNAcentral.
CAGGAUUCCCCUAGUAACGGCGAGUGAAGCGGGAUGAGCUCAAAUUUAAAAUCUGGUGUCCUUUGGGCAUCCGAGUUGUAGUCUAGAGAAGCAUUUUCCGUGUCGGACCAUGUACAAGUCUCCUGGAACGGAGCGUCAUAGAGGGUGAGAAUCCCGUUCUUGACAUGGACCCCCGAUGCUCUGUGAUGUGCUCUCAAAGAGUCGAGUUGUUUGGGAUUGCAGCUCAAAAUGGGAGGUAAAUUCCUUCUAAAGCUAAAUAUUGGCGAGAGACCGAUAGCGAACAAGUACCGUGAGGGAAAGAUGAAAAGCACUUUGGAAAGAGAGUUAAACAGUACGUGAAAUUGUUAAAAGGGAAACGAUUGAAGUCAGUCGCGUCUGCUUGGACUCAGCCUUACUUCGGUUUGGUGCAUUUCCUUGUAGACGGGCCAGCGUCAAUGUUAUCCGCUGGAAAAAGGUGUAGGGAAUGUGGCUCUUUCGGGAGUGUUAUAGCCCUAUAUCAUAUGCAGUGGGUGAUAUUGAGUGUAACAGCACGCUUUUGUGGUGCUUGUGUUGGCAUAAUGGCUUUAAACGACCCGUCUUGAAACACGGACCAAGGAGUCUAACAUGUCUGCGAGUGUUUGGGUGGUAAACCCGAGCGCGGAAUGAAAGUGAUAGCUGGGAAUCUCGCAAGAGAGGCACCGGCGCCCCGAGCUGAACUUCUGUGACGCAUCGGAGGUAGAGCAUAUAUGUUGGGACCCGAAAGAUGGUGAACUAUGCCUGAAUAGGGCGAAGCCAGAGGAAACUCUGGUGGAGGCUCGUAGCGAUUCUGACGUGCAAAUCGAUCGUCAAAUUUGGGUAUAGGGGCGAAAGACUAAUCGAACCAUCUAGUAGCUGGUUCCUGCCGAU